Molecule: transfer RNA, 73 nt
Filed under: Stegodyphus mimosarum
Lineage: Eukaryota; Metazoa; Arthropoda; Arachnida; Araneae; Eresidae
Rfam family: tRNA
About the family: Transfer RNA (tRNA) molecules are approximately 80 nucleotides in length.
Source: Rfam by way of RNAcentral
GCCUUCGUGGUGUAGUGGUCUGCGCGCUUGACGCGUAACCGAGAGGUCCGUGGUUCGAUUCCCGGAGAAGGCG